Molecule: long non-coding RNA, 2752 nt
Organism: Diabrotica virgifera virgifera (western corn rootworm)
Lineage: Eukaryota; Metazoa; Arthropoda; Insecta; Coleoptera; Chrysomelidae
Exons: 3
Source: RefSeq, a predicted model, not a curated record
UGGAAAAACCGUUUUUUACUAUUUUUAUGAGAUGUAGAAGCAAAAGAUACAUACAAUCCUAAAUUUUCAAUUUUUUAUCUCAGACCGUUAUUUUUUAAUAGCCAUUUAAAUAUUUUACAUCUAUAUAUAUAAAAGAAAGUCGAGGUUGUGUUAGUUACACCAUUUAUAACUCGAGAACGACUGAACAGAUUUUUAUGAAAUUUUACAUGUAUAUUCUAGCGGUCUGGGAAUAGGAUAAUAUGGAGUUUCAUACCCGUACGUCAUAAGGGGUGUUGCCCCCCCUGAUAUAUUUUUUUAAUUUUUGGAAAAACCGUUUUUUACUAUUUUUAUGAGAUGUAGAAGCAAAAGGUACAUACAAUCCUAAAUUUUCAAUUUUUUAUCUCAGACCGUUAUUUUUUAAUAGCCAUUUAAAGAUUUUACAUCUAUAUAUAUAAAAGAAAGUCGAGGUUGUGUUAGUUACACCAUUUAUAACUCGAGAACGACUGAACAGAUUUUUAUGAAAUUUUACAUGUAUAUUCUAGCGGUCUGGGAAUAGGAUAAUAUGGAGUUUCAUACCCGUACGUCAUAAGGGGUGUUGCCCCCCCUGAUAUAUUUUUUUAAUUUUUGGAAAAACCGUUUUUUACUAUUUUUAUGAGAUGUAGAAGCAAAAGAUACAUACAAUCCUAAAUUUUCAAUUUUUUAUCUCAGACCGUUAUUUUUUAAUAGCCAUUUAAAUAUUUUACAUCUAUAUAUAUAAAAGAAAGUCGAGGUUGUGUUAGUUACACCAUUUAUAACUCGAGAACGACUGAACAGAUUUUUAAAAUUUUACAUGUAUAUUCUAGCGGUCUGGGAAUAGGAUAAUAUGGAGUUUCAUACCCGUACGUCAUAAGGGGUGUUGCCCCCCUGAUAUAUUUUUUUAAUUUUUGGAAAAACCGUUUUUUACUAUUUUUAUGAGAUGUAGAAGCAAAAGAUACAUACAAUCCUAAAUUUUCAAUUUUUUAUCUCAGACCGUUAUUUUUUAAUAGCCAUUUAAAUAUUUUACAUCUAUAUAUAUAAAAGAAAGUCGAGGUUGUGUUAGUUACACCAUUUAUAACUCGAGAACGACUGAACAGAUUUUUAUGAAAUUUUACAUGUAUAUUCUAGCGGUCUGGGAAUAGGAUAAUAUGGAGUUUCAUACCCGUACGUCAUAAGGGGUGUUGCCCCCCCUGAUAUAUUUUUUUAAUUUUUGGAAAAACCGUUUUUUACUAUUUUUAUGAGAUGUAGAAGCAAAAGGUACAUACAAUCCUAAAUUUUCAAUUUUUUAUCUCAGACCGUUAUUUUUUAAUAGCCAUUUAAAGAUUUUACAUCUAUAUAUAUAAAAGAAAGUCGAGGUUGUGUUAGUUACACCAUUUAUAACUCGAGAACGACUGAACAGAUUUUUAUGAAAUUUUACAUGUAUAUUCUAGCGGUCUGGGAAUAGGAUAAUAUGGAGUUUCAUACCCGUACGUCAUAAGGGGUGUUGCCCCCCCUGAUAUAUUUUUUUAAUUUUUGGAAAAACCGUUUUUUACUAUUUUUAUGAGAUGUAGAAGCAAAAGAUACAUACAAUCCUAAAUUUUCAAUUUUUUAUCUCAGACCGUUAUUUUUUAAUAGCCAUUUAAAUAUUUUACAUCUAUAUAUAUAAAAGAAAGUCGAGGUUGUGUUAGUUACACCAUUUAUAACUCGAGAACGACUGAACAGAUUUUUAUGAAAUUUUACAUGUAUAUUCUAGCGGUCUGGGAAUAGGAUAAUAUGGAGUUUCAUACCCGUACGUCAUAAGGGGUGUUGCCCCCCCUGAUAUAUUUUUUUAAUUUUUGGAAAAAUCGUUUUUUACUAUUUUUAUGAGAUGUAGAAGCAAAAGAUACAUACAAUCCUAAAUUUUCAAUUUUUUAUCUCAGACCGUUAUUUUUUAAUAGCCAUUUAAAUAUUUUACAUCUAUAUAUAUAAAAGAAAGUCGAGGUUGUGUUAGUUACACCAUUUAUAACUCGAGAACGACUGAACAGAUUUUUAUGAAAUUUUACAUGUAUAUUCUAGCGGUCUGGGAAUAGGAUAAUAUGGAGUUUCAUACCCGUACGUCAUAAGGGGUGUUGCCCCCCCUGAUAUAUUUUUUUAAUUUUUGGAAAAACCGUUUUUUACUAUUUUUAUGAGAUGUAGAAGCAAAAGGUACAUACAAUCCUAAAUUUUCAAUUUUUUAUCUCAGACCGUUAUUUUUUAAUAGCCAUUUAAAGAUUUUACAUCUAUAUAUAUAAAAGAAAGUCGAGGUUGUGUUAGUUACACCAUUUAUAACUCGAGAACGACUGAACAGAUUUUUAUGAAAUUUUACAUGUAUAUUCUAGCGGUCUGGGAAUAGGAUAAUAUGGAGUUUCAUACCCGUACGUCAUAAGGGGUGUUGCCCCCCCUGAUAUAUUUUUUUAAUUUUUGGAAAAACCGUUUUUUACUAUUUUUAUGAGAUGUAGAAGCAAAAGAUACAUACAAUCCUAAAUUUUCAAUUUUUUAUCUCAGACCGUUAUUUUUUAAUAGCCAUUUAAAUAUUUUACAUCUAUAUAUAUAAAAGAAAGUCGAGGUUGUGUUAGUUACACCAUUUAUAACUCGAGAACGACUGAACAGAUUUUUAAAAUUUUACAUGUAUAUUCUAGCGGUCUGGGAAUAGGAUAAUAUGGAGUUUCAUACCCGUACGUCAUAAGGGGUGUUGCCCCCCUGAUAUAUUUUUUUAAUUUUUGGAAAAACCGUUUUUUACUAUUUUUAUGAGAUGUAGAAG